RNAcentral lists this ribosomal RNA (253 nucleotides) under uncultured bacterium. RNAcentral's name for it is "partial 16S ribosomal RNA". It matches the Rfam family "Archaeal small subunit ribosomal RNA", at positions 474 to 727 of the family's 1478-position model. The record is from RNAcentral.
UACCAGCACCCCGAGUGGUCGGGACGAUUAUUGGGCCUAAAGCAUCCGUAGCCGGUUCUACAAGUCUUCCGUUAAAUCCACCUGCUUAACAGAUGGGCUGCGGAGGAUACUAUGGAGCUAGGAGGCGGGAGAGGCAAGCGGUACUUAGUGGGUAGGGGUAAAAUCCGUUGAUCCAUUGAAGACCACCGGUGGCGAAGGCGGUCUUCUGGACGGUGACUGACGCUGAGGCGCGAAAGCGUGGGGAGCAAACGGG